CGCUGCGCCACCUCUUUGGUAUUGAUCUCUUCCAUCUGCCCUGAAUUACUUCCAUUGCUGACCUGAGCGCCGGUCACCGAAGGGUUGGGCUCCCGGGCUGUGCCCAAGAGCUGUCCGUGGCUCUGGGCAUUCAGAGUGCCCAGCACAAAGCUCAGAGCCCUUAGAUGUACUACAAUGGAAGAAAGCAUUAGAGUCUGUGGAAGAAUUCCUUGAAAUUGGAUAGAGUUCCAGGAACUGCUUGGAGCCGCCUUGGUGGCGGUGGCGGUCUGAAAACUGACCACACGGAAAGCAUCUCUGGUUACUUCCUGGGUAAAGAAGAAAACCGCUUGCUCUCCCAGGACCCUGGAUGAGCUACCAAUGGAUUCUUCUGAGUUGAAACUGUCUAGGGGCCGGCUGCUUUGGCAAAAGCUCUGCAAGUCUUCAAGCCAAGAACGCUGGCCAGGGGGUAUCACAGUGGCUGUGGG
Long non-coding RNA from Acomys russatus (golden spiny mouse), 464 nucleotides. RefSeq lists it as uncharacterized. The record is from RefSeq and is a predicted model, not a curated record. The transcript has 3 exons. Lineage: Eukaryota; Metazoa; Chordata; Mammalia; Rodentia; Muridae.